GAUGCAAGACAACUUAUCGCUUCCCGACUUGUCGGGGGGAGGAAAGUCCGGGCAACAUAGAGCAUCGUACUUCCUAACAGGAAGGUCUUGAAGCAGUUAAAUGUUUCAGGAACAGAAAGUGCCACAGAAAACAGACUACCACUGAAAUCACGAAAGUGUACUUCAGGGGAAAAGGUGAAAAGGUGAGGUAAGAGCUCACCGCUCGAAUGGUGACAUUGGAGGCAUGGUAAACCUUACGAGUUGAAAAGCCAAAUAAGUGACGUCCAUUCAUUUGGAAUAGCUGCUCGCUAUUGUCCGCCAAUUGGCAGACAGCGUUACGGGUAGGCUGCUAGAGUCCGUCAGUGAUGACGAGGCCAGACAAAUGAUAGGUGCCCUGAAGGAACAUGUGUCUUUCAGGGAACAGAACCCGGCUUAUCGGCUUGCAUUUUUA
Molecule: RNase P RNA, 430 nt
Filed under: Cyclobacteriaceae bacterium
Lineage: Bacteria; Pseudomonadati; Bacteroidota; Cytophagia; Cytophagales; Cyclobacteriaceae
Description: RNase P RNA component class A
Rfam family: Bacterial RNase P class A
About the family: Ribonuclease P (RNase P) is a ubiquitous endoribonuclease, found in archaea, bacteria and eukarya as well as chloroplasts and mitochondria.
Source: RNAcentral